RNAcentral lists this ribosomal RNA (253 nucleotides) under uncultured bacterium. Its description in RNAcentral is "partial 16S ribosomal RNA". It matches the Rfam family "Bacterial small subunit ribosomal RNA", at positions 524 to 776 of the family's 1533-position model. The record is from RNAcentral.
GACGGGGGAUGCAAGUGUUAUCCGGAAUCACUGGGCGUAAAGCGUCUGCAGGUGGUUUCCUAAGUCCACUGUUAAACCUUGAGGCUCAACCUCAAAUCUGCAUUGGAAACUAGGAGACUUGAGUAUAGUAGGGGUAGAGGGAAUUUCCAGUGGAGCGGUGAAAUGCGCAGAGAUCGGAAAGAACACCAACGGCGAAAGCACUCUGCUGGGCCGACACUGACACUGAGAGACGAAAGCUAGGGGAGCGAAUGGG